This 253-nucleotide ribosomal RNA is filed under the name uncultured bacterium. RNAcentral describes it as "partial 16S ribosomal RNA". It matches the Rfam family "Bacterial small subunit ribosomal RNA", at positions 524 to 776 of the family's 1533-position model. The record is from RNAcentral.
UACGUAGGUGGCAAGCGUUGUCCGGAGUUAUUGGGCGUAAAGCGCGCGCAGGCGGUGCGGUAAGUCUCUGGUGAAAGCGCUCGGCUUAACUGGGCGAGGGCCGGGGAGACUGCCACGCUGGAGGGGAGCAGAGGCGAGUGGAAUUCCGGGUGUAGUGGUGAAAUGCGUAGAGAUCCGGAGGAACACCAGUGGCGAAGGCGGCUCGCUGGGCUCUACCUGACGCGGAGGCGCGAAAGCGUGGGGAGCGAACCGG